CAGUAGCCACGGGAAUACAGAGGGUGCAAGCGUUAAUCGGAAUUACUGGGCGUAAAGCGCGCGUAGGUGGUUUGUUAAGUUGGAUGUGAAAUCCCCGGGCUCAACCUGGGAACUGCAUCCAAAACUGGCAAGCUAGAGUAUGGUAGAGGGUGGUGGAAUUUCCUGUGUAGCGGUGAAAUGCGUAGAUAUAGGAAGGAACACCAGUGGCGAAGGCGACCACCUGGACUGAUACUGACACUGAGGUGCGAAAGCGUGGGGAGCAAGCAGGAUUAGAUACCCCUGUAGUCCCUGUCUCUUAUAC
Molecule: ribosomal RNA, 301 nt
Filed under: uncultured bacterium
Lineage: Bacteria
Description: partial 16S ribosomal RNA
Rfam family: Bacterial small subunit ribosomal RNA
Source: RNAcentral